Long non-coding RNA from Tachysurus fulvidraco (yellow catfish), 1391 nucleotides. RefSeq lists it as uncharacterized. The transcript has 3 exons. The record is from RefSeq and is a predicted model, not a curated record. Lineage: Eukaryota; Metazoa; Chordata; Actinopteri; Siluriformes; Bagridae.
UGUGUGCGUGUGAGCCUGUGUGUGUGAGAGAGGGCCUCAACGACCAUUUAAGAAUGGGUUGAGAUAUAUGAAAAAUUACGUAUUGACAAAAAACAAAACAAAACAAAACAUGGCUGUAAAUCCAACAUCUCAGAUAUCCAUUGCAGCCCUGAUUUUGUCUUCCUUUAUCAGUGUUUUUGAUGUGCUGCUGGAUGGGUAACGUGUAUUUGUGUCCGUUGGUGUGAUUGUAGUGAACUUUGCUGGAGGGUUGUUUCCUGUCUCUGCCAUACAUUUUCUCCUCUUGUUAUGACGGUUUUCUGCACAUACUCUUGCUUCCUCACCCAGUUCACAGAGAUGCGUUGUAGGUUGAUUGACAUCUUUAAAUGAUACACUGGCACCUAAUCUUGUGUGUCUAUUGAGUUGUGCCCUGGAAUAUACUCUAGAGUCUAGACUACAGAAACUGGAUAUUUGGAUUGAGUUGUAGAAAAAAACAUUAAUAAUGAGCCUGGUUCCUCUAAAGGUUUUUUCUCUCAUGUCAUCUUAGGGAGUUUUUCCUCACCACCAUUGCCUCAGGCUUGCUCAUUAAGGAUCAAUUCGAUUUUAAACGUUAUAAUUUUUGUAUUCCUGUAAAGCUGCUUCAAUACAAUGUCCAUUGUUAAAAGCUCUAUAUGAGUUAUUUUUUUAAUAUAUUUUUUUUAGUUGUGGAUGUCUAAUGGAUAUGAGGAAAUAUAAAAGUAUGACAUCAUGCGCAGACUUUGUUCUUAUUUUCACUGCAGUUAUUGUUUUUCAUGGAGUUCUUGAAAUCCCCUAGCACAUGCAACCACUGAGUAAUUAGGAAAUCCAUUUGUUUCCCCUUAAAUUAACAGACAAUUUUUCUGAACAGAUGACAAGUCAGAUGCUUUCUUUCACAUUAAGGACAAAACUGUAUUUAGUGUCCAAACCAAAAGGUGAUGUUUUCCUGAGAUUUUUGCUGAAGAAUUGAUGAGGAAAUGUUUCCUCCUCCAAGUUGCCUUAUCAGUUCUGGUCUUUCACUUCCUCUUUUUCAACUCGUCCGAGAUGUGACACUAACCAUAUUGUGACAGAUGCUCAGGACUGAUCUAUGGCAGUAAUCUGGAAAUGAGCACUCAGUUUGAAGCUCCUAAUUAAAAAUCUCUCCCUCGCCUGCCAGAAACACUCAGUAUGGAGGAGCAUUCAGGCUGGCUGGAGUGUGCAUCGGUCUAAUUUGUAUCAUUCAGGCGACGCUCAACAUCGUCCUGAAGCUGUACUCUGAAGAGCUCAAGAAGCCGGGGUGGAUCUUAUUCAGGUCGAGCAUUUACUACCUGUCUGCUGAGGAGAAGAACUGGUUUGACAGCAGAGCUGAAUGUAGAAGAGACGGAGCAGACCUGGUGAUUAUCAAAAGCAAAGAAGAACAG